UUCAAAGUAGUAAAUUUAAUACGCAAGCUUUAGGAGCUUGAGAUAAGAUAGAGGUCUUCUUUGAAA
RNAcentral lists this transfer RNA (66 nucleotides) under Donax trunculus (truncated wedgeshell). RNAcentral describes it as "tRNA-Leu". The record is from RNAcentral. Lineage: Eukaryota; Metazoa; Mollusca; Bivalvia; Cardiida; Donacidae.